Molecule: ribosomal RNA, 489 nt
Filed under: Pseudocercospora macadamiae
Lineage: Eukaryota; Fungi; Ascomycota; Dothideomycetes; Mycosphaerellales; Mycosphaerellaceae
Description: eukaryotic LSU rRNA
Rfam family: 5.8S ribosomal RNA (bases 152-305)
Source: RNAcentral
AUUACUGAGUGAGGGCUCACGCCCGACCUCCAACCCUUUGUGAACACAUCUUGUUGCUUCGGGGGCGACCCUGCCGGCACUACGUCGCCGGGCGCCCCCGAAGGUCUCCAAACACUGCAUCUUUGCGUCGGAGUUUAAACAAAUUAAACAAAACUUUCAACAACGGAUCUCUUGGUUCUGGCAUCGAUGAAGAACGCAGCGAAAUGCGAUAAGUAAUGUGAAUUGCAGAAUUCAGUGAAUCAUCGAAUCUUUGAACGCACAUUGCGCCCUUUGGUAUUCCGAAGGGCAUGCCUGUUCGAGCGUCAUUUCACCACUCAAGCCUGGCUUGGUAUUGGGCGUCGCGGCUCCGCGCGCCUUAAAGUCUCCGGCUGAGCCAUUCGUCUCUAAGCGUUGUGGAUUUUCUAAUUCGCUUCGGAGUGCGGGUGGCCGCGGCCGUUAAAUCUUUAUUCAAAGGUUGACCUCGGAUCAGGUAGGGAUACCCGCUGAACU